CCUACGGGUGGCAGCAGUGAGGAAUAUUGGUCAAUGGGCGCGAGCCUGAACCAGCCAAGUCGCGUGAGGGAAGACGGUCCUAUGGAUUGUAAACCUCUUUUGUCGGGGAGCAAAAGACGCCACGUGUGGCGUUCCGAGAGUACCCGAAGAAAAAGCAUCGGCUAACUCCGUGCCAGCAGCCGCGGUAAUACGGAGGAUGUGAGCGUUAUCCGGAUUUAUUGGGGUUAAAGGGUGCGUAGGCGGUUUUAUAAGUUAGAGGUGAAAAUUCGGGGCUCAACUCCGGACGUGCCUCUAAUACUGUAUGACUAGAGAAUAGAUGCGGUAGGCGGAAUGUAUGGUGUAGCGGUGAAAUGCGUAGAGAUCAUACAGAACACCGAUUGCGAAGGCAGCUUACCAAACUAUAUCUGACGUUGAGGCACGAAAGCGUGGGGAGCAAACAGGAUUAGAUACCCCUGUAGUC
Molecule: ribosomal RNA, 460 nt
Filed under: uncultured bacterium
Lineage: Bacteria
Description: partial 16S ribosomal RNA
Rfam family: Bacterial small subunit ribosomal RNA
Source: RNAcentral